Molecule: ribosomal RNA, 440 nt
Filed under: uncultured bacterium
Lineage: Bacteria
Description: partial 16S ribosomal RNA
Rfam family: Bacterial small subunit ribosomal RNA
Source: RNAcentral
CCUACGGGAGGCAGCAGUGGGGAAUAUUGCACAAUGGGGGAAACCCUGAUGCAGCGACGCCGCGUGAGUGAAGAAGUAUUUCGGUACGUAAAGCUCUAUCAGCAGGGAAGAAAAUGACGGUACCUGACUAAGAAGCCCCGGCUAACUACGUGCCAGCAGCCGCGGUAAUACGUAGGGGGCAAGCGUUAUCCGGAGUUACUGGGUGUAAAGGGAGCGUAGACGGCAGCGCAAGUCUGGAGUGAAAUGCCAUGGCUUAACCAUGGAACUGCUUUGGAAACUGUGCAGCUAGAGUGCAGGAGAGGUAAGCGGAAUUCCUAGUGUAGCGGUGAAAUGCGUAGAUAUUAGGAGGAACACCAGUGGCGAAGGCGGCUUUCUGGACGAAAACUGACGCUGAGGUACGAAAGCGUGGGGAGCAAACAGGAUUAGAUACCCUUGUAGUC